RNAcentral lists this unclassified non-coding RNA (192 nucleotides) under rhizosphere metagenome. RNAcentral's name for it is "partial ribosomal RNA internal transcribed spacer region". The record is from RNAcentral.
GUAGGUGAACCUGCGGAUGGAUCAUUAGUGAAUGUGCGGCGCGGCUUGCUGCGCCCGCCAUCCACCCUUGUGCACCGUACCGUGGCGGCAGCGAUGCCGCCAAGGGCCUCUGGCCCGCCCAACGCUCAACGCCGUCUGAAUUACAGAACCAAAUGAGAUAAACAACUUUUGACAACGGAUCUCUUGGCUCUC